GAGUUUGAUCAUGGCUCAGGAUGAACGCUAGCGAUAGGCUUAACACAUGCAAGUCGAGGGGCAUCACGGGAUUAGCUUGCUAAUCUUGGUGGCGACCGGCGUAAGGGUGCGUAACGCGUAUGCAACUUGCCUGUCAGUGGGGAAUAACCCGGAGAAAUCCGGACUAAUACCGCAUACACUUUAGUUUCUGCAUGGGGACUUUAGGAAAGAUUUAUUGCUGACAGAUAGGCAUGCGUUCCAUUAGAUAGUUGGUGAGGUAACGGCUCACCAAGUCAACGAUGGAUAGGGGAGCUGAGAGGCUUAUCCCCCACACUGGAACUGAGACACGGUCCAGACUCCUACGGGAGGCAGCAGUGAGGAAUAUUGGUCAAUGGGCGAGAGCCUGAACCAGCCAAGUCGCGUGAAGGAAGACGGUCCUAUGGAUUGUAAACUUCUUUAGUAGGUGAGUACAAGCAGUUACGUGUAGCUGU
This 470-nucleotide ribosomal RNA is filed under the name Porphyromonas cangingivalis. RNAcentral describes it as "bacterial SSU rRNA". It matches the Rfam family "Bacterial small subunit ribosomal RNA", at positions 9 to 468 of the family's 1533-position model. Lineage: Bacteria; Pseudomonadati; Bacteroidota; Bacteroidia; Bacteroidales; Porphyromonadaceae. The record is from RNAcentral.